GUUGUAUUAAAUCUUAUUGUCACUGGGUUAUAUGGAAGAGGUUGGAAUUUGCUGUGUUAAAAUAACGAGCUUUUAAUCUUUAUAUUCUUAAUAUAUAUUAAAAGAUUAAUAAAUUUAUACGUGACCUAAUAGCUGUAUAUAUUAAUAUAUCGAAUUCGUGCAACUAUCAAGUACUUAUGAAUAUCGGCCUGAUUUAGACACAAGACAGAUAAUUCAUCAAGAUGUGUCUUCCUUACAUAUUAUCUAAAAUUACCCAUCUUUACGAUAUAUAAACAGUCGCACCAACAAUCUUAACAACUAGCUGCGAAAAGGUGAUUUAUACUGGCAAUGGUUGUGUAACAUUACCAUUAUAUAAACCAUCUUGGAUUUGUUCUGAAAAUCUGCAAUCUAUAUAUCAAGGUUUCUGUGAUCACAGUAGGAAAUGUUUGAUGGAAGUGACUUAGUGUCUAUAAGAAUAUUUUUUUGGGAGGCAAAAAUGUUCUUAUAUUUUCUUAUAUUAUUCUCAUUAAUUAUUCUACUUCAUUCAUCCUGAAAAUAAAAUAUACAGAUAAUAGUCGUAUAAAUACUGCAAUGAU
Non-coding RNA from Paramuricea clavata, 575 nucleotides. NCBI's taxonomy places the organism in Eukaryota, Metazoa, Cnidaria, Anthozoa, Malacalcyonacea, Plexauridae. The record is from the annotation of a GenBank genome assembly.